Molecule: long non-coding RNA, 3115 nt
Filed under: Triticum aestivum (bread wheat)
Lineage: Eukaryota; Viridiplantae; Streptophyta; Magnoliopsida; Poales; Poaceae
Description: long non-coding RNA (TAES_LNC027671)
Source: RNAcentral
AUACUCACAAGAGGAAGAAAUCAUAUAUUGGAUAAAAUUGUUGGAUUACAGUAGUGGAUAUUACAGGAGGAAGAGCAUCCAAAUGUGAUGCAAAUCUAAAUAUUUUCUCGACAAAGAAACUUAAACUAAAAGCAUCCAUAAACAUCCCUGAUACUUAACUAAAACAUAACCGAGGAACAUCAUCGAAUAGGAACAACAUCCCUACAACUUAACUAAAACUGAAAGCAUCCAUCAUCAUCAUCAUGAACUGGAACAUCAUCAUCAUCAUCAUCAUCAUCAUCAUCAUCAUCACAUCGCAGUGUACUUGCCAUGCACCCAUAUAAUCAUCCAUGUAUAUUUUGACUCUACAAAGAAAAUGACAAAAUGAACCGUUAACACACAGUGCAUUAAGAAGUAAGAACCACUUUGCGCACACUUACUGCUCAUCAGCACAUUUUUUUGGUCUGGACAACAGUCUAAUAGCAAAUAAGAAGAAACAAAUAAACAAGAUAGCACUACAAUUUGAACACAAAUUCGUAUGUGAUUAUGAGAAGAUAGCAGCAUGAGUGUUAGUUGUCCUUGAUGACUAAUCCAGACGCCACAAUAUACGACACAACCUGCAAAAAACAUGGCUAAAUAAAAUUAUAUAGACAUUGGCCUAAGUGAUGUGCAUAGGGCAAUGUGAUUGACAGUACCACUUCUCUUUUCUUCUCCAGUUAGUUAGCAAACUAGACCAAAACGGCUUCUCAUCUGAAACUGAACCAAAACAUCUAUUUCUAGUUGGUUUCGGUCAUCCAACAGGAAAUAGGGAAACCUAUAAGUGCUCACCACGCUUUGAAACCAACCUACAACCCCAAAUCCACUGAAAUUAAUUUACAUGGUCAUCACCAGCCUAGAGAGACAUCGCUAAUUCUUUAGAUCUACAGUAAAACUGUUUUCUGUGAACCAAUAGAUCUAUUUAUUUCUAAAUAAAUCCACUGAAACCUACAGCCCCAAAUCUUAUAAAUGUGCGUCGACAGUAGCACAGAACCUAGCACAGCUCAAUGGCCAUGGACACAACGAGCAGUAGCACGGUAAGGAGAGGGAGAGAGUUUACCUUCAAUGGCAUCGUCCAUGACUUGCUACACGAACUUGACUUGCUCCAUGGCGUCCCCCUUCAUCGAGUUGGAAUACCUAGUUGAUUUUAAUUAUACUAAGAUUCUUUCAUGUGAAACUAAAUAGUGGAAUUAAUACAUGCAACACACAAUAUAGGCCUAACACACUAACUUGUAUUGAAAUUGCUGACAGAGUAACUAAUUUGUAGUGGAAUGGCCAAAAGAGUACCUUAUAUAGGGACAACCUGUAGGUGAUUAUUUCCUUGUAGUGUAUUUCAUGAGUACAGGAUGAUAGUAUUAAAAAAAAUAGUCCAUCAAGGUUAUCCUUGUAUCUAGUUUGUUCUUUCCCUUUCCAUAAAGAAUUUGCAGAACUAAACCAUUAGUUCUUUCCAGAUUUUAUACAUGUAAUAGGCAGAAUAGAAGUUGUUCCUGACUUUUAGUGGAGAAUAGUAUCCGAAGAAAUACAUCUAUAGAAGCACUGUGUCCUGAACUCAUGUUAACCACAAUAACAAUAUCCUUUUUAGUUGAAAAGGUAAACUUCUAAUAUUUAAAUAUUAUUCAUGAUUUUUAAAGGAUAUAGCGAGAUACCAUGUUGACAAAAAGAUAAUACAACUGUGAUUUAUUUUAACUAGAAGUGCAUAUGAAUACAUAACAGAAUUUAUAUUGGAGACUGUACUGAGGUAACACCACAUCAGCUCGGAGCUGUAACAGAAGUACCUAUAUUAUUUUCGGAAAGCAAGAGAAAGCAUCUAACUUACCGCCAAAUAGUGGUUCAAAUAUUCAUCACUUGGUAAUAAUUAAAAACACCUUGCUGAUGUUGUAGUCGUACAUAAUAAUCAUAUGUGUGACUAAGAAAACUUGAAGAUCAAUUUUUAUUUCGGAAGGGAAACAGGAGCAGAAUCUUCAAAAUAUAAAUCAAUAACUAACCAUUAAACAGCAAAAGAAAUAAUUCUGCUCAGUUUCAAAGCCAACGUUGCAAUACAUAAGGAACCAUAUACAUAUCGUGGCUGUAGCAUGUGCACAGCAAGCCAUCGUAUACUAAGUUAAGAUGUACAACAGAAAUAGUAAAUUUAUGCUUCGUCUAUUCAAAUUACUACAUGGGAGAACAUUAUAAUAUGAAGAAAUUCCACAAAGCAGCACAAUUUUUCAGUGAAAAAUAAAUAAAUCUAAUGGUUAAAUUGAUAAGAGGAUUUUAGACAUACGUUUAUUUUUCUUCAAUGGGGACAUGAGCACUUACCUAUAACGGGGCCAAACCUGAAGACAGGAACUGAGUCGCGUCCAUGACUGGACAAUGGAGGACUUGGUUACUUCCAUCAUGUCACCCAUGUCGUGGGCAGCACCUAUGGUUAGGAUUGGUUCACCUGGGAUUGGUUUUCCCUGUAGAGAGAAGGGUUAUACAGCCAGUUGGUUGCACGUCUACAGGAGAAGAAAAGAGCAGAGGUUAGGGCAUCUACAACGCUCGCCGCUUGGCCAGGUGCUUACAGAAGAAAGUGAAAAUAAUAUUAAAUUGAAAAACAUCUAAGCGCCCUGCCUUCCAACGCUGUACACUAACUGCUAACGCUAAUCAAACACUAAAUUAAACUGCACAUGCGGCUGAUGCGGGGAAGAAAGGAGGGAAGCGCCCGCUGCUUAUCUUUGCGCCGACGAAGCGUCCGACGCCAGGAUUUGACGGCCUCAACCGCAAAUCGGUCAGGAAUUCAAGUGGGAAAAAAUCCUAGCGCCUCCCCUAGCGCCCCGCGUUGGAGAUGAGAAAGAGGGAGAUAAAUGAUGAAACCAGGGGAGGGGGUGCACUCACCGGACUAGAGGAGGACGACCUGGCCACCGGCGCCGGAGCCGACGCCCGAACCCUAGCUAUGGGGGAGGGUCGCGGGUAGGCUUUGGUGGCCGCGAGGGCCGGAUCUAGCCGGAUGGGAGGGCGCCGCAAUGCGAGGGGACCUCGGGCUGUGCUUCGCGGUGUGAAGAGAGAGAUGGGUCGCGAGAGUGAUGGGUGGGUAGGGAUGAUGUGGAUCCGGCAGCCUCCAGAGCUGCGAGGUAGGGGGAGG